This 698-nucleotide ribosomal RNA is filed under the name uncultured Gammaproteobacteria bacterium. Its description in RNAcentral is "bacterial SSU rRNA". It matches the Rfam family "Bacterial small subunit ribosomal RNA", at positions 771 to 1469 of the family's 1533-position model. The record is from RNAcentral. Lineage: Bacteria; Pseudomonadati; Pseudomonadota; Gammaproteobacteria.
AACAGGAUUAGAUACCCUGGUAGUCCACCCCGUAAACGAUNUCGACNUGGAGGUUGUUCCCUUGAGGAGUGGCUUCCNGAGCUAACGCGUUAAGUCGACCNCCUGGGGAGUACGNCCGCAAGGUUAAAACUCAAAUGAAUUGACGGGGGCCCGCACAAGCGGUGGAGCAUGUGGUUUAAUUCGAUGCAACGCGAAGAACCUUACCUACUCUUGACAUCCAGAGAACUUAGCAGAGAUGCUUUGGUGCCUUCGGGAACUCUGAGACAGGUGCUGCAUGGCUGUCGUCAGCUCGUGUUGUGAAAUGUUGGGUUAAGUCCCGCAACGAGCGCAACCCUUAUCCUUUGUUGCCAGCGGUUCGGCCGGGAACUCAAAGGAGACUGCCAGUGAUAAACUGGAGGAAGGUGGGGAUGACGUCAAGUCAUCAUGGCCCUUACGAGUAGGGCUACACACGUGCUACAAUGGCAUAUACAAAGAGAAGCGACCUCGCGAGAGCAAGCGGACCUCACAAAGUAUGUCGUAGUCCGGAUCGGAGUCUGCAACUCGACUCCGUGAAGUCGGAAUCGCUAGUAAUCGUAGAUCAGAAUGCUACGGUGAAUACGUUCCCGGGCCUUGUACACACCGCCCGUCACACCAUGGGAGUGGGUUGCAAAAGAAGUAGGUAGCUUAACCUUCGGGAGGGCGCUUACCACUUUGUAUUC